This 427-nucleotide ribosomal RNA is filed under the name uncultured bacterium. RNAcentral describes it as "bacterial SSU rRNA". It matches the Rfam family "Bacterial small subunit ribosomal RNA", at positions 355 to 774 of the family's 1533-position model. The record is from RNAcentral.
UGGGGAAUUUUGGACAAUGGGCGCAAGCCUGAUCCAGCCAUUCCGCGUGCAGGACGAAGGCCUUCGGGUUGUAAACUGCUUUUGUACGGAACGAAAAGGCUCUGGCUAAUACCUGGGGCUCAUGACGGUACCGUAAGAAUAAGCACCGGCUAACUACGUGCCAGCAGCCGCGGUAAUACGUAGGGUGCAAGCGUUAAUCGGAAUUACUGGGCGUAAAGCGUGCGCAGGCGGCUUUGCAAGACAGAUGUGAAAUCCCCGGGCUCAACCUGGGAACUGCAUUUGUGACUGCAAGGCUGGAGUGCGGCAGAGGGGGAUGGAAUUCCGCGUGUAGCAGUGAAAUGCGUAGAUAUGCGGAGGAACACCGAUGGCGAAGGCAAUCCCCUGAGCCUGCACUGACGCUCAUGCACGAAAGCGUGGGGAGCAAACA